Molecule: ribosomal RNA, 491 nt
Filed under: uncultured bacterium
Lineage: Bacteria
Description: partial 16S ribosomal RNA
Rfam family: Bacterial small subunit ribosomal RNA
Source: RNAcentral
AGUGAACGCUGGCGGUAGGCCUAACACAUGCAAGUCGAACGGCAGCACAGUAAGAGCUUGCUCUUACGGGUGGCGAGUGGCGGACGGGUGAGGAAUACAUCGGAAUCUACUUUUUCGUGGGGGAUAACGUAGGGAAACUUACGCUAAUACCGCAUACGACCUACGGGUGAAAGCAGGGGAUCUUCGGACCUUGCGCGAUUGAAUGAGCCGAUGUCGGAUUAGCUAGUUGGCGGGGUAAAGGCCCACCAAGGCGACGAUCCGUAGCUGGUCUGAGAGGAUGAGCAGCCAAACUGGAACUGAGACACGGCCCAGACUCCUACGGGAGGCAGCAGUGGGGAAUAUUGGACAAGGGGCGCAAGACUGAUCCAGCAAUACCGCGUGGGUGAAGAAGGCCUUCGGGUUGUAAAGCCCUUUUGUUGGGAAAGAAAAGCAGCAGGUUAAGACCCCGCUGUUCUGACGGUACCCAAAGAAUAAGCACCGGCUAACUUCGU